RNAcentral lists this ribosomal RNA (312 nucleotides) under Shewanella frigidimarina. RNAcentral's name for it is "bacterial SSU rRNA". It matches the Rfam family "Bacterial small subunit ribosomal RNA", at positions 24 to 330 of the family's 1533-position model. Lineage: Bacteria; Pseudomonadati; Pseudomonadota; Gammaproteobacteria; Alteromonadales; Shewanellaceae. The record is from RNAcentral.
UCAGAUUGAACGUUGGCGGCAGGCCUAACACAUGCAAGUCGAGCGGUAACAGAGAGUAAGCUUGCUUACUUUGCUGACGAGCGGCGGACGGGUGAGUAAUGCCUAGGGAUCUGCCCAGUCGAGGGGGAUAACAGUUGGAAACGACUGCUAAUACCGCAUACGCCCUACGGGGGAAAGGAGGGGACCUUCGGGCCUUCCGCGAUUGGAUGAACCUAGGUGGGAUUAGCUAGUUGGUGAGGUAAUGGCUCACCAAGGCGACGAUCCCUAGCUGUUCUGAGAGGAUGAUCAGCCACACUGGGACUGAGACACGGC